UCUAUGGCCAUACCACCCUGAAUGCACCCGAUAUCAUCUGACUGUCGACAUCAACCAGGGUCAGACCUGGUUAGUACUUUGAGUUUCCUGGAGUUUCAUUUAGCUGAUAGUA
RNAcentral lists this ribosomal RNA (112 nucleotides) under Nannospalax galili (Upper Galilee mountains blind mole rat). The record is from RNAcentral. Lineage: Eukaryota; Metazoa; Chordata; Mammalia; Rodentia; Spalacidae.